RNAcentral lists this ribosomal RNA (117 nucleotides) under Xenopus tropicalis (tropical clawed frog). Lineage: Eukaryota; Metazoa; Chordata; Amphibia; Anura; Pipidae. The record is from RNAcentral.
GCCUACGGCCAUACCACCCUGAAAGCGCCGAUCUCGUCUGCUCGAAGCUAAGCAGGGACGGGCUUGGUUAGUACCUGGAUGGUAGAGUCCGCCUGGGAAUACCAGGUGUUGUAGGCU